RNAcentral lists this ribosomal RNA (203 nucleotides) under uncultured bacterium. RNAcentral's name for it is "partial 16S ribosomal RNA". It matches the Rfam family "Bacterial small subunit ribosomal RNA", at positions 568 to 774 of the family's 1533-position model. The record is from RNAcentral.
UGCGUAGGCGGUCGGGUAAGUCUGACGUGAAAUCUUCAAGCUCAACUUGGAAACUGCGUCGGAUACUAUUCGGCUAGAGGAAUGGAGGGGAGACUGGAAUACUUGGUGUAGCAGUGAAAUGCGUAGAUAUCAAGUGGAACACCAGUGGCGAAGGCGAGUCUCUGGACAUUUCCUGACGCUGAGGCAAGCCAGGGGAGCAAACG